AAAGGAGGGAGCCGCCGAAGGCAGGUCUGAUAACGGGGGUGAAGUCGUAACAAGGUAGCCGUAUCGGAAGGUGCGGCUGGAUCACCUCCUUUU
Molecule: ribosomal RNA, 93 nt
Filed under: Clostridiales bacterium
Lineage: Bacteria; Bacillati; Bacillota; Clostridia; Eubacteriales
Description: partial 16S ribosomal RNA
Rfam family: Bacterial small subunit ribosomal RNA
Source: RNAcentral